Cervus hanglu yarkandensis (Yarkand deer) is the source of this 101-nucleotide small nuclear RNA. The record is from Ensembl. NCBI's taxonomy places the organism in Eukaryota, Metazoa, Chordata, Mammalia, Artiodactyla, Cervidae.
UUGCUUUGGCCUCAAGUAUACUAAAAUUGGCGUGAUACAGAAAAGAUUAGCAUGGCCCCGGGCAAGAUGACAUGCACAUUUGUGAAGCAUUCCAUAUUUAA